This 63-nucleotide transfer RNA is filed under the name Posthodiplostomum centrarchi. Its description in RNAcentral is "tRNA-Val". Lineage: Eukaryota; Metazoa; Platyhelminthes; Trematoda; Diplostomida; Diplostomidae. The record is from RNAcentral.
AGUAAGGUAGUUUAAAUAAAAUGUUUGUUUUACACACAUAAGAUGAGUUCUGCUCUAUUACUA